Molecule: ribosomal RNA, 472 nt
Filed under: uncultured bacterium
Lineage: Bacteria
Description: bacterial SSU rRNA
Rfam family: Bacterial small subunit ribosomal RNA
Source: RNAcentral
AGUUAACGUUGGCGGCGUGCCUAACACAUGCAAGUCGAACGCGUCCUAUGGGCAACCAUAGGUUGAGUGGCGAACGGGUGAGUAACACGUGGGUAAUCUUCCUUCAAGUGGGGAAUAAGCUCUCGAAAGGGAGUCUAAUACCGCAUGACGUUCCGGGACACAAGUCCCGUAAUUAAAGCCGCAAGGCGCUUGAAGAUGAGCCUGCGUCCUAUUAGCUAGUUGGUAGGGUAACGGCCUACCAAGGCUGAGAUGGGUAGCCGGCCUGAGAGGGUGAACGGCCACACUGGGACUGAGACACGGCCCAGACUCCUACGGGAGGCAGCAGUGAGGAAUUUUGCGCAAUGGGGGAAACCCUGACGCAGCGACGCCGCGUGGAGGACGAAGGCCUUCGGGUCGUAAACUCCUGUCAGAGGUGAAGAAUGCCCGCAAGGGCUUGACGGUAACCUCAGAGGAAGCCCCGGCUAACUACGUG